GCGGUAAUUCCAGCUCCAAUAGCGUAUAUUAAAGUUGUUGCAGUUAAGAAGCUCGUAGUUGAAUUUCUGCCUUAUCAUUAAUUUCGCUUCCGAACGUAAUUUUAUUGAUUUGGCAUCUUCUGGAUUAUAUAUUAUUUUUAAUAUAUUUUUCCAGUAUUUUACUUUGAGAAAACUAGAGUGUUUCAAACAGGCUUUUGCCUUGAAUACUACAGCAUGGAAUAAUGAAGUAGGACUAUUGGUUCUAUUUUGUUGGUUAUCGAACCAUAGUAAUGGUUAAUAGGAGCAGUUGGGGGCAUUCGUAUUUAACUGUCAGAGGUGAAAUUCUUAGAUUUGUUAAAGACGAACUACUGCGAAAGCAUUUGCCAAGGAUGUUUUCAUUAAUCAAGAACGAAAGUUAGGGGAUCGAAGACGAUCAGAUACCGUCGUAGUCC
RNAcentral lists this ribosomal RNA (431 nucleotides) under Babesia annae. RNAcentral's name for it is "SSU rRNA". It matches the Rfam family "Eukaryotic small subunit ribosomal RNA", at positions 576 to 1026 of the family's 1831-position model. The record is from RNAcentral. Lineage: Eukaryota; Apicomplexa; Aconoidasida; Piroplasmida; Babesiidae.